This 206-nucleotide long non-coding RNA is filed under the name Elaeis guineensis (African oil palm). RNAcentral's name for it is "long non-coding RNA (EGUI_LNC011236)". Lineage: Eukaryota; Viridiplantae; Streptophyta; Magnoliopsida; Arecales; Arecaceae. The record is from RNAcentral.
UGAAUCUUAUCUCACUGAGCAGACUGGAUUCGAGAGGCUUCAAGACGAUAGCUGGUGGAAGAAUCCUGAAGAUGUUGCACGGCGAUAUGAUUGUUCUGGAGGAGAAGAAAAAGAUGAAAGGAUAUUAUUACCUGACAGAAAGUUCAGUGUGAGAUGGAGCUUCAAAAGUCAGGAGAAACCCAGAGCGAGGUGGAGGUGGAUCGGGC